UACGUAGGUGGCAAGCGUUGUCCGGAAUUACUGGGUGUAAAGCGCGUGUAGGCGGGAGGCCAAGUCUGCUGUGAAAUCGCCCGGCUCAACUGGGCGGGGUCGGUGGAAACUGGUCACCUGGAGGACGGUAGAGGCGAGUGGAAUUCCCGGUGUAGUGGUGAAAUGCGUAGAGAUCGGGAGGAACACCAGUGGCGAAGGCGGCUCGCUGGGCCGGACCUGACGCUGAGACGCGAAGGCGUGGGGAGCGAACGGG
This 253-nucleotide ribosomal RNA is filed under the name uncultured bacterium. RNAcentral describes it as "partial 16S ribosomal RNA". It matches the Rfam family "Bacterial small subunit ribosomal RNA", at positions 524 to 776 of the family's 1533-position model. The record is from RNAcentral.